RNAcentral lists this ribosomal RNA (494 nucleotides) under uncultured bacterium. RNAcentral describes it as "partial 16S ribosomal RNA". It matches the Rfam family "Bacterial small subunit ribosomal RNA", at positions 28 to 507 of the family's 1533-position model. The record is from RNAcentral.
GACGAACGCUGGCGGCGUGCUUAACACAUGCAAGUCGAACGGAAAGGCCUGCUUUCCCUUGUGGAUUGCGGGUACUCGAGUGGCGAACGGGUGAGUAACACGUGAGUGAUCUGCCCCCAACUUGGGUAUAAGCCUGGGAAACUGGGUCUAAUUCCCGAUAGGACUGCAGGGUGGUGCCUGUGGUGGAAAACGAUUUUCUAGUGGUUGGGGAUGAGCUCGCGGCCUAUCAGCUUGUUGGUGGGGUAAUGGCCUACCAAGGCGGCGACGGGUAGCCGGCCUGAGAGGGUGGACGGCCACAUUGGGACUGAGAGACGGCCCAGACUCCUACGGGAGGCAGCAGUGGGGAAUAUUACACAAUGGGCGGAAGCCUGAUGCAGCGACGCCGCGUGGGGGAUGACGGCCUUCGGGUUGUAAACUCCUUUCGACCGCGAGGAAGCCACCUGGUUGGAAGGGUGGUGACGGUAGUGGUAGAAGAAGCACCGGCUAACUACGUG